Molecule: ribosomal RNA, 250 nt
Filed under: uncultured prokaryote
Description: partial 16S ribosomal RNA
Rfam family: Bacterial small subunit ribosomal RNA
Source: RNAcentral
UACGUAGGUGGCAAGCGUUGUCCGGAUUUACUGGGUGUAAAGGGCGUGCAGCCGGGGAUGCAAGUCAGAUGUGAAAUCCACAGGCUUAACUUGUGAACUGCAUUUGAAACUGCGUUUCUUGAGUGCUGGAGAGGUAAUCGGAAUUCCUUGUGUAGCGGUGAAAUGCGUAGAUAUAAGGAAGAACACCAGUGGCGAAGGCGGAUUACUGGACAGUAACUGACGGUGAGGCGCGAAAGCGUGGGGAGCAAAC